RNAcentral lists this ribosomal RNA (253 nucleotides) under uncultured bacterium. RNAcentral's name for it is "partial 16S ribosomal RNA". It matches the Rfam family "Bacterial small subunit ribosomal RNA", at positions 524 to 776 of the family's 1533-position model. The record is from RNAcentral.
UACGAAGGGGGCGAGCGUUGUUCGGAUUUACUGGUCGUAAAGGGCGCGCAGGCGGCUCAUUUUGUCAGGCGUGAAAGCCCCGGGCUUAACCUGGGAACUGCGUUUGAUACGGAUGGGCUAGAGUUCGGGAGAGGAGAGUGGAAUUCCCAGUGUAGAGGUGAAAUUCGUAGAUAUUGGGAAGAACACCGGUGGCGAAGGCGGCUCUCUGGACCGAUACGGACGCUGAGGCGCGAAAGCGUGGGGAGCAAACAGG